GAGUUUGAUCAUGGCUCAGGAUGAACGCUAGCGGGAGGCCUAACACAUGAAGCCGAGGGGUAAAAGAUGAGCUUGCUCAUCUUCAGACCGGCGUACGGUGCGUAACGCGUAUGUAACCUACCCCUAUCAGGGGGAUAGCCCUUCGAAGGAGGAUUAAUACCCCAUAACAUACCUAGAGGCAUCUUUAGGUAUUAAAGCUGAGGCGGAUAGGGAUGGGCAUGCGUCUGAUUAGCUAGUUGGUAGGGAACGGCCUACCAAGGCGACGAUCAGUAGGGGGCCUGAGAGGGUGACCCCCACACUGGGACUGAGACACGGCCCAGACUCCUACGGAAGGCAGCAGUGAGAAUAUUGGACAAUGGGUGCAAGCCUGAUCCAGCCAUCCCGCGUGCAGGAGACGGCCCUAUGGGUUGUAAACUGCUUUUCUUGCGGAAUAAACCUACCUCGUGCAGGGUAGCUGAAGGUACGCAAGGAAUAAGCACCGGCUAACUCCUGCCAGCAGCCGCGGUAAUACGGAGGGUGCGAGCGUUAUCCGGAUUUAUGGGUUUAAAGGGU
RNAcentral lists this ribosomal RNA (552 nucleotides) under uncultured Bacteroidota bacterium. RNAcentral's name for it is "bacterial SSU rRNA". It matches the Rfam family "Bacterial small subunit ribosomal RNA", at positions 9 to 568 of the family's 1533-position model. The record is from RNAcentral. Lineage: Bacteria; Pseudomonadati; Bacteroidota.